CAGACCUAAUAUGCUGUCAUCAUUUGAGAACCGAAUCUGGACUCUCUGGAAAAUAAGCCAAGAGAUUCUGAGACAUUGAAAUAAUUCUAAGCAAACCAGACUGACUGCAGAUGCACCUAAAACCUAACAGGGUAUUCGAAGCAGAGAAUUAGUAUUUUUUUGUGAUGCAAUAAUGUUUGCAACAGACCACAAAAUAGUUCUACUGACUCAUGCCUUUGAGGGCAAAGUUUUUCUCUAAUCCUUCUCCACCCUGUUUCACAGGAGGUCUUAACGGAUACCAAAGGUUUGACACCCCAGGCAACUGAUCCUUCUGGACUCUCCUUAUGUGGAUUACUUUUAACCUAUCAGAAAACUGAAUGGGAUACUGAAAGACUAUUCAAGAUGGCAGGCCUGCCAUUGAAGAGGAAACAAAUGGAUUUAGUUCAGUGCUACAAAAGCGAGCCACUUAUAUGAAAAGGCAUGUGACUAUGACAACCACAGUGCAAGCAUUAUUGGAUUAUUAACUCUACAAGUUACAGAAAGGAAGACUUCACAGUGCCCAGAGUACCAGACUGACAGUAAGGAAGCUCAAGUUGUAGAGGAAUUAUAUUUCCAGACAAUGACAGCAUCUACCACUUUGGAUACAUCUGGAUGGUUUCUACAUCUGCCAAAUGAAAACAGCAGGAGAGCAUGAUGAAAUCAUACCUCCAGUUGUGGCCAUCUUUUCCCCAUCAAAGCAAGAGAUCCAACAGAAGAGCAAGGCCACGCUGGUAUGCCUGGCCUCUGGUUUCUACCCUGACCACCUGAAUCUGGUCUGGAAGGUGAAUGGUGCUAAGAGGACAGAAGGGGUGGGGACAGAUGAGUUUUCCACAUGGAAUGGGAGUACCUACUCACUGACCAGCCGACUGAGGAUCUCAGCCAGAGAGUGGUUCAACCCUUUGAAUCGUUUUGAGUGCGUUGCCAAUUUUUUUAAGAAUGCAAAACUGGAAUCGAUACACAAAGCAAUCUACGGUGAUGCUGGUUGUGCACUCACGGAAGAGUCCUACUUGCGAUAUGGGAAUUCUCUGAAGCUCACAUACCUCAUUCUCUGUGGCAAAGCCUUGCUCUAUGCAGUUUUGGUAAGCGGUCUGGUGUGGACAGCCAAGGCUGGUGACAAGUUGUAUAGAGAAUAAUCGAGUCCGCUUCAUCACAACAGCAUGAACACAGCAAAUUAUUUCUACCCUUCCACAGCAAAGAAUCUAUGCUUCUGUCUAAGAACCUCUGAAUAUAAUAUCUUGAUGGUUUUCUGUCCCCCUCCUGUUCUUUCUACUUGUAGUCACUGGUGGGUCUUCCCUGUACUUCCGUAUCAUAUUGUAUUGUAUCAUAUAAAAUCAAUCAUAUAAUAUCUUUAAAACUAACACCUUCUUAAUAUUCAGAGGCUGAGGACCCCGCUCCUUGAACUAAGAAUAAAGUUUUAGCUUCUUCUCCA
Columba livia (rock pigeon) is the source of this 1447-nucleotide non-coding RNA. The record is from the annotation of a RefSeq genome assembly. NCBI's taxonomy places the organism in Eukaryota, Metazoa, Chordata, Aves, Columbiformes, Columbidae.